RNAcentral lists this long non-coding RNA (968 nucleotides) under Brassica napus (rape). RNAcentral's name for it is "long non-coding RNA (BNAP_LNC021784)". Lineage: Eukaryota; Viridiplantae; Streptophyta; Magnoliopsida; Brassicales; Brassicaceae. The record is from RNAcentral.
UAGGGGGUUCAUGGUGUAGUUUUUGAAGGGGGUCGAAGUUUAGUUGAAUUAUUAUGAUUAUAUUGUAGAAUAUAUGUGUUUAAAACUAGAAUCCAAAAGAAAUAUAUGAAAUUUCUAAUUAUAGGAAAAUGAAAUAAUUUGGGAAUGCCCAAUGAUGGUUCAUUAGAUGUUUUUGUCAGUUCUCUGUAAACUAGUGAUGUUUAUUGUCCUUUUCAUAUACACUGGCGGCAAUUAUUACCACUAAUAAACGAUCUUAUCUUAUAACCACAAGAAACUAUUGUCUCCUUGCUUCCAUUGAUUCCAUUAAUCCGAAUAUUCCAUUUUCUUUAUGUUGCCAACUAUUAUUCCAAGUAUACAGAUUCGAACUCAGUUUCCACUAAAAAUUUCGCUAUUCAAAAAAAUAUUCACCGAUACUGUAACGUUUGCUGCCGUUAAGUGCAAGAACGUAUAUCAUCCAUCUAUACUAGGCCUGAGACUUAUUAUCCGAGAUCCGGAUUUGAUCCGAGAUUCGCUCCGGAUCCACUCCGAAAAUAGGAUAUCCGGAGUGUCCGAAUCAAUCCAGAUAGUCUAAUCUUGGAUCCGUCCAAACCGAAUCCGGAUCCGGAUCAGUAUUAUUAAAAAAACAUUAAAUUUUUUAAUUUCAUUAAUAUUAAUAUUUGAUAUAUUAAUAUUUAUACAUAAAUUAAUAUUAUAAUAUUAUAUUUUAGUUUUUACAAUAUUAUAGACAUAUAUAUUUAUAAAUCUUGUAUAAAUAUUUAAUUUAUGUAUUAUAUUAAAAUUUUAAGUUUUUUUUAAAUACUAUUUUUAAUUAAUUUACGGAUCCGGAUCCGGAUCCGAAUAUCUGUCGAUAAUAAAAUAUCGAGGCGGAUAUCCGAAAUCCGGAUAUCUGGAUACCUGAAUUUCCUGGAUAUCCGGAUCCGUCCAAGCCUAACCUAUACUCUAUUCAUGUGAAUCGUAUAUUUGGUCUA